This 253-nucleotide ribosomal RNA is filed under the name uncultured bacterium. RNAcentral's name for it is "partial 16S ribosomal RNA". It matches the Rfam family "Bacterial small subunit ribosomal RNA", at positions 524 to 776 of the family's 1533-position model. The record is from RNAcentral.
UACGUAGGGUGCGAGCGUUGUUCGGAAUUACUGGGCGUAAAGCGCACGUAGGCGGCUUUGUAAGUUAGAGGUGAAAGCCCGGGGCUCAACCCCGGAAUUGCCUUUAAGACUGCAUCGCUUGAAUCCGGGAGAGGUGAGUGGAAUUCCGAGUGUAGAGGUGAAAUUCGUAGAUAUUCGGAAGAACACCAGUGGCGAAGGCGACUGACUGGACAAGUAUUGACGCUGAGGUGCGAAAGCGUGGGGAGCAAACAGG